This 870-nucleotide ribosomal RNA is filed under the name uncultured Flavobacteriales bacterium. RNAcentral's name for it is "bacterial SSU rRNA". It matches the Rfam family "Bacterial small subunit ribosomal RNA", at positions 58 to 922 of the family's 1533-position model. Lineage: Bacteria; Pseudomonadati; Bacteroidota; Flavobacteriia; Flavobacteriales. The record is from RNAcentral.
CAAGUCGUGGGGCAGCGCAGUGUAGCAAUACAUGGGCGGCGACCGGCAAACGGGUGCGGAACACGUACGCAACCUUCCUUUAAGUGGGGGAUAGCCCAGGGAAACUUGGAUUAAUACCCCGUAAUAUUACGGAAUGGCAUCAUUUUGUAAUUAUAGCAGCAAUGCGCUUGAAGAUGGGCGUGCGCCUGAUUAGGUAGUUGGCGGGGUAACGGCCCACCAAGCCUUCGAUCAGUAACUGGUGUGAGAGCACGACCAGUCACACGGGCACUGAGACACGGGCCCGACUCCUAUGGGAGGCAGCAGUAAGGAAUAUCGGUCAAUGGACGAAAGUCUGAACCAGCCAUGCCGCGUGGAGGAUGAAGGUCCUCUGGAUUGUAAACUUCUUUUAUUUGGGAAGAAACCCACGAUUUCUAUUGUGGUUGACGGUACCAGAUGAAUAAGCACCGGCUAACUCCGUGCCAGCAGCCGCGGUAAUACGGAGGGUGCAAGCGUUAUCCGGAUUCACUGGGUUUAAAGGGUGCGUAGGCGGGCAGGUAAGUCAGUGGUGAAAUCCCCGAGCUUAACUUGGGAACUGCCGUUGAUACUAUCUGUCUUGAAUACUAUGGAGGUAAGCGGAAUAUGUCAUGUAGCGGUGAAAUGCUUAGAUAUGACAUAGAACACCAAUUGCGAAGGCAGCUUGCUACACAGUUAUUGACGCUGAGGCACGAAAGCGUGGGGAUCAAACAGGAUUAGAUACCCUGGUAGUCCACGCCCUAAACGAUGAUUACUCGACAUCAGCGAUACACUGUUGGUGUCUGAGCGAAAGCAUUAAGUAAUCCACCUGGGAAGUACGACCGCAAGGUUGAAACUCAAAGGAAUUGGCGGGGGUCC